UGGAUGUAAUUUUUGAUUGUUGGUGUCUUCAAUAACAUCUAAAUACGUGCUCUCCGCUCCAACGACUUCUAAAUACGUGUUGUCCGGUUGUGACGAUUAAACAGUCUUUGAGGCCCAUGUAAGAUGGGACAAAUUUUGACUGGUUAUAGGAUGAAACAUUUCUAUCAUCCCACUCUCGUUAAUUGUUUCAUAAUGUGGGAAUAUAUUGU
RNAcentral lists this long non-coding RNA (209 nucleotides) under Mytilus galloprovincialis (Mediterranean mussel). The record is from RNAcentral. Lineage: Eukaryota; Metazoa; Mollusca; Bivalvia; Mytilida; Mytilidae.